UUAAAAGUUAAAAGUCCAAAAGAGAUCCGCGAGAAAGUGAAAAUUAGAAGUGGAAAACAUUAGGAGGGGCGUUUACGCGUUAACCUGUCUCUCGCCAACGGAGGCAGAGUUGGCCAAGUGUCGCGACGCAAAACGAGAAGGGAUUUGAAUGUUAAGGAUGCUCUUUCUCGAGAUUAGCGAAAUCUUGGAGCCAAACUGUACGACGAUUUUCGGCUCUUAGCAGGCGGCGGUAAUCUACGAGUCAAGUCCGCGAGAAGAGAAGGGAGGAGAAAAGGCUGGAAGACUGCGGAAGAGAGAGAAGACUCUUUGCGCUCUCCGGGAAGUCCGACCAAGUUUCAAACUAACUUCAAGAAUCGAGGCGGCUCUAAUUCUCGACGACUAUUAAUCUCUCCCCGCGCCACGCGACGGCGGAUUGAGAUUCAAACGCGACCAAUACGAGGGGGAAGGAAGGAAAGAAGGAGGGAAAGGGGGAGGCGUAAUUUCGAUGUCAUUUUGAGAAAAACGUCGAUCGUCGAGGUGGAGGAGGAAAAUUGGACUGGCGACGAGUGAAGGUAAACGAGCAUCGGGGAAAGCUAUCGAGGGGUUGGAUUUACGGGGGGAGGAAGAGAGGGUGGAUCUGUUUAAAUGAUAUCGACGCGAAUGAGGUAGCAGGAAGGGAGAAGGAAGGAUAUAUGUAAAUAUCGUAUCUGCGUAAGAGGCGUCUUUCACUCGGUCUCGCUUUUCAUGGAAAUUUCGUAGGGAAAUUGAAAGGCCGCGGACACUUUAUGCUUUAACUUUGAUACAAUGCUUGUAUAUUUAAUCAUCUCUAUAUCGUGUCAAUUAAGAAGUUAAAUUGCUUCGUUCGCGUUAUUUGCUUUUUUUUUUUCCCUCCUCUAUCUUUUUUUUCCCUUUCCCUCUCUCUCUCUCUCUCUCUCUUUCUUCCUCCCUUUCGCUUAACCUCGAACGACGAACGUGAGAACAUGGCUUCGACUAAGAUGGAUUAAUUAUCGAAGACGCCGUGUAAUGAGUCCUCGAACGGGAGGAAGGAGACGAAGAGUCACGGGCGUCGAGCGAAAAAAAAAAGCAAGUCUGGAAAAAAAAAGGAGAGGCAAAGUGACGAAGAGAGAGAGAGAGAAAAAGAGAGACGACGAAGAAGAAACUUCGUUCCUCGUAAAGCAUUCGAAGCUUUACUCGAGCAUUGGAACCCUCGCGGUUCGUUCAAGGAAGAACGACCAGCAGACGGGACCAGUUGAAUUCGUUUAAUUACCCUCAUUAUCCAUUUUAGCUUUGUUCGAUUUAAACCGGGCUCGAGCCAUGCGGAACAUCGUGGUGGAUGGUAAUUAUACCUACAUCGGCCUAUCCGGUUUGCAAUUGGAUCGCAUGCGAUUUCACGGAGAGAUUAUUAUUCCUUUCUUUUUUUUUUCUUCUUUUUUUUUUUUUUUUCGAGAUUAAAACUUCUUUCGCGAAAAUUUGUCCGAAAGUUAAUUCGAAACAGUUAGAUGUAUCGAAACGGUUAUAUUACGUCGUUAAAUUUAUCGAUUGGCUCGUAAACAAAAAUUCGGGGACCUUCGAGAGGAUUUUAAUAAUGGAAAUAAAAUGCGGAGUAAUAUACUGAUUGGCGUGCGAUGAAGUGUAGUUGAAAUAAAUGAAAAUUAAAUUGGAAAAUUAACGGUUUGUAAUUUAAGCAAAUGGAGAUGCGAAAUUAGUGGCCGGUUUAUUAACGUGUCGCUUCUGAACGGAGAGGAAACGAGGGAAGGAGAAUUCUCUUCUCUCUGAAAAGAGAGAGAGAGAGA
Long non-coding RNA from Apis dorsata (giant honeybee), 1772 nucleotides. RefSeq lists it as uncharacterized. The transcript is spliced from 2 exons. NCBI's taxonomy places the organism in Eukaryota, Metazoa, Arthropoda, Insecta, Hymenoptera, Apidae. The record is from RefSeq and is a predicted model, not a curated record.